This 429-nucleotide ribosomal RNA is filed under the name Bacteroidota bacterium. RNAcentral's name for it is "Bacteroidetes bacterium partial 16S ribosomal RNA". It matches the Rfam family "Bacterial small subunit ribosomal RNA", at positions 355 to 776 of the family's 1533-position model. The record is from RNAcentral. Lineage: Bacteria; Pseudomonadati; Bacteroidota.
UAGGGAAUCUUCCGCAAUGGACGCAAGUCUGACGGAGCAACGCCGCGUGAGUGAAGAAGGAUUUCGGUUCGUAAAACUCUGUUGUUAGAGAAGAACAGCGCAUAGAGUAACUGUUAUGCGUGUGACCGUAUCUAACCAGAAAGCCACGGCUAACUACGUGCCAGCAGCCGCGGUAAUACGUAGGUGGCAAGCGUUGUCCGGAUUUAUUGGGCGUAAAGCGAGCGCAGGCGGUCAAUUAAGUCUGAUGUGAAAGCCCCCGGCUCAACCGGGGAGGGUCAUUGGAAACUGGUUGACUUGAGUGCAGAAGAGGAGAGUGGAAUUCCAUGUGUAGCGGUGAAAUGCGUAGAUAUAUGGAGGAACACCAGUGGCGAAGGCGACUCUCUGGUCUGUAACUGACGCUGAGGCUCGAAAGCGUGGGUAGCAAACAGG